RNAcentral lists this ribosomal RNA (852 nucleotides) under uncultured Acidobacterium sp. Its description in RNAcentral is "partial 16S ribosomal RNA". It matches the Rfam family "Bacterial small subunit ribosomal RNA", at positions 36 to 864 of the family's 1533-position model. The record is from RNAcentral. Lineage: Bacteria; Pseudomonadati; Acidobacteriota; Terriglobia; Terriglobales; Acidobacteriaceae.
CAAUGCGGGGGCUUACACAUGCAAGUUGAGCGGUAAGGCCCCUUCGGGGGUACACGAGCAGCGAACGGGGGAGUAUCGCGUGGGUAACCUACCCAGAGGGGGGGGAUAGCCCCGGGAAACCGGGGGUAAUACCGCAUGAGUCCUCGAUGACACAAGUCGACGAGGGGAAAGGCGGGGAUCCUUCGGGACCUGUCGUCUCUGGAUGGGCCCGCGUCCGAUUAGCUUUUUGGGGGGGUAAUGGCCUACCAAGGCAACGAUCGGUAGCCGGCCUGAGAGGGGGAACGGCCACAUUGGGACUGAGACACGGCCCAGACUCCUACGGGAGGCAGCAGUGGGGAAUUUUGGGCAAUGGGGGAAACCCUGACCCAGCGACGCCGCGUGGAGGAUGACGGCCCUCGGGUUUUAAACUCCUGUCAGGGGGGAAGAAGAGCCUGUCGGUUAAUACCCGGCAGGAAUUGACGGUACCACCAAAGGAAGCCCCGGCUAACUCCGUGCCAGCAGCCGCGGUAAUACGGAGGGGGCAAGCGUUAUUCGGAUUUACUGGGCGUAAAGCGCACGUAGGUGGCAUGGUAAGUCAAAGGGGAAAGCCCUCGGCUCAACCGAGGAAUUGCCUUUGAAACUGCUUUGCUUGAGUCCGGGAGGGGGGAGCGGAAUUCCCAGUGUAGCGGGGAAAUGCGUAGAUACUGGGAGGAACACCGGGGGCGAAGGCGGCUCCCUGGACCGGUACUGACACUGAGGGGCGAAAGCGUGGGUAGCAAACAGGAUUAGAUACCCUGGUAGUCCACGCCGUAAACGAUGGGCACUAGGGGCAGCGGGGGUCGACCCCUGCUGUGCCGUAGUUAACGCAUUAAU